This 253-nucleotide ribosomal RNA is filed under the name uncultured prokaryote. Its description in RNAcentral is "partial 16S ribosomal RNA". It matches the Rfam family "Bacterial small subunit ribosomal RNA", at positions 525 to 777 of the family's 1533-position model. The record is from RNAcentral.
ACGAAGGGUGCAAGCGUUACUCGGAAUUACUGGGCGUAAAGCGUGCGUAGGUGGUUCGUUAAGUCUGAUGUGAAAGCCCUGGGCUCAACCUGGGAAUGGCAUUGGAUACUGGCGACCUAGAGUGCGGUAGAGGGUGGCGGAAUUCCCGGUGUAGCAGUGAAAUGCGUAGAUAUCGGGAGGAACACCAGUGGCGAAAGCGGCGCUCUGGGCCUAAACUGACGCUGAGGGGCGAAAGCGUGGGGAGCGAACGGGA